This 407-nucleotide ribosomal RNA is filed under the name uncultured bacterium. RNAcentral's name for it is "bacterial SSU rRNA". It matches the Rfam family "Bacterial small subunit ribosomal RNA", at positions 355 to 777 of the family's 1533-position model. The record is from RNAcentral.
UGGGGAAUAUUGGGCAAUGGACGCAAGUCUGACCCAGCAACGCCGCGUGAAGGAAGAAGGCUUUCGGGUUGUAAACUUCUUUUAAGGGGGAAGAGCAGAAGACGGUACCCCUUGAAUAAGCCCCGGCUAACUACGUGCCAGCAGCCGCGGUAAUACGUAGGUGGCAAGCGUUGUCCGGAUUUACUGGGUGUAAAGGGCGUGCAGCCGGGAAGACAAGUCAGAUGUGAAAUCCCGCGGCUCAACCGCGGAACUGCAUUUGAAACUGUUUUUCUUGAGUAUCGGAGAGGUAAUCGGAAUUCCUAGUGUAGCGGUGAAAUGCGUAGAUAUUAGGAAGAACACCAGUGGCGAAGGCGGAUUACUGGACGACAACUGACGGUGAGGCGCGAAAGCGUGGGGAGCAAACAGGA